GUUACAAACAAUAACUCAUUAAAACAGUGCUUGCUAUGCUUCUUACCUUCCUUUUAACUGUCAAAAUUGUAAUCUGUAAGAAACUUUCCUCAGCUAUUAAAAUCCUCUAAUUUCAGCAGAGAAUGCAACAACAGAAUGUGGCAAAUCCUCCUCUUCUGUUGUAGAGAUUUUCAGUGAAAAUUCCCAGCCUUCUCUGACUUACAGUGUCUUGGGUAUUCUCACUGGGAGGAGUAAGCACUUUCAGGUGGGGCUGAGACUGCAGGUACUGUUCACAAAGAACCUGAAGAUAAGUAGCAAUGUUUGUCUGUUGCUGAGAGGUGUUGUGAGGUUUUGUGGACAUUCUGUGCUGAGAAAAUGCAAACACCAUAAAAUAUAGGAAGCCAGACUGUCAAACAAGGGACAAUCAAACUAAACAACCUGUUCUCCGUUCAAGCAUUCCGUUGUGCUAACAGCUACUGGCAAAAAACAUCCCAUUGUGUACACUGGAAUCUUCAAUUUGCUAGAUGCUAAUGUCUGAGUACUUCACCAUCUGUGGCAUAUUUAUUCUCCUGAGACCACUGUGAGGUAGAGAGAGAGUAUUAAAUCCAUCUUAAGAGUGAAGAAUAAGAGCCGCAACAACACUGGGAUCAAAUAGGUGAUCUGCGCUUGUGCAGAUCGAAGCUCUCCUGAUCACAGGCUAAAUCCUUAAUUAUUUCAUUUCCCCCUAUGCUCCCUCCAUUCUAGUCUUGUUCAAGCAGAGGCGUUCUGUAGAGCUGGCAGAAAAAAAAAGAAAAAAGAAAAAA
This is a long non-coding RNA of Gallus gallus (chicken), 782 nucleotides long. Lineage: Eukaryota; Metazoa; Chordata; Aves; Galliformes; Phasianidae. The record is from Ensembl.